UCCGGUUUGUCACCGGCAGUCUCCCUAGAGUUCUCAGCUUUACCUGCUAGCAACUAGGGACAAGGGUUGCGCUCGUUGCGGGACUUAACCCAACAUCUCACGACACGAGCUGACGACAGCCAUGCAGCACCUGUAUCUCGGUUCCCGAAGGCACCAAUCCAUCUCUGGAAAGUUCCGAGUAUGUCAAGGGCAGGUAAGGUUCUUCGCGUUGCGUCGAAUUAAACCACAUGCUCCACCGCUUGUGCGGGCCCCCGUCAAUUCAUUUGAGUUUUAGCCUUGCGGCCGUACUCCCCAGGCGGGACACUUAAUGCGUUAGCUUCGGCACUGAUGGCUUUUACCCCACCAACGCCAAGUUCACAUCGUUUACGGCUAGGACUAC
This 379-nucleotide unclassified non-coding RNA is filed under the name uncultured Gammaproteobacteria bacterium. RNAcentral's name for it is "contains 16S-23S intergenic spacer region". Lineage: Bacteria; Pseudomonadati; Pseudomonadota; Gammaproteobacteria. The record is from RNAcentral.